This 942-nucleotide ribosomal RNA is filed under the name Triticum aestivum (bread wheat). RNAcentral's name for it is "partial small subunit ribosomal RNA". The record is from RNAcentral. Lineage: Eukaryota; Viridiplantae; Streptophyta; Magnoliopsida; Poales; Poaceae.
AUGCUGGUGUUCAGUUCCGUUGGACGAGCAGCAGCAGCAGCAAGUGAUCCGAUCGGGAUGCUCAACUGCGUCACGUCCUGCGGUGGCGUGAAGGUGCCAUACCCGUUCGGCAUUGGCCCCGACGCCAGCUGCUACCUGCCGGGGUUCAGUCUCAUCUGCAACACCACCGGCUCAAAGCCAUGGCUGCUGCUCGACGCCGACGGCAUCAUCCAAGUUCUCCGGAUCUCCGACAACGCUGAGAUCCCUUUACUGGACGUUCAACGUAACGGCGACGUAAAAAUCAGCGUUGAUGCCCAUGGCAACGGCAACAGCACAUUCAGCCGAGGCCUUAGGCGCCACGGCCCAUACACGCUGGCGAGCUACCAGAACGAGCUCAUCCUGACGGGCUGCAACGUGCAAGCCACAGUCAAGAAUGGCAACGUCACCUUGGCCAGCUUCACCUCGCUCUGCAAAGAAGACCUGGCGCCACAAGCAGCAGAGGAUGAAAGCAGCCUGACCAAGCGAUGCUCCGGCGGCACAGGCUGCUGCCACACUGAUAUCGUCACGCCGGCCGGCUACGACGAGGGCGAAGCGUACAGCAUCAGCAGCACCGGCACGUCCAAGUAUGACGUGCAGCUCAGAUGGUUCGGUUGGAACCGUAGCGCGGACCUGGAGCGAUUCCCCGUGCGUGUGUUUAUCGCUGAGAAGGGGUGGUACGACAACACCUCCAUCUCAAAGGAUUUGCUACAGAUAGAUCACCCCAUGUCAAAGGAGGCAAUGGCAGUGCCUGUUACUCUGAGGUGGGAGGUUGUUGGCCAUCCCAUCAGCAGCGUCUGCAAGAGCAACCACAGCGAGCACAUAAAGGGAACACGAAGAGGAAGCUAUGUGUGCCGCUGCAGUCGAGGUUACCAUGGAAAUCCAUACCUCACCGACGGGUGCAAAGACAUACCCUUGCUACGGUGA